AGGAAAUAAAGUGUCCUGCCUCCUCCACCCUCCCCUCUUGUGCACCCACCACCACCAGCCGGAGAUCAAUCUAUUAUGUGUGUGAUCAUUUAGAGUUAUAAAUCCAAUCAGAGGAUUAUUCAAAACGGUGAGUGUGAUCGAGGGGAGAAGCAGAUCAUGAAGUGGAGAAAGGGAGAAGAGGCACUGCAAGGAGUUGUAGAGCAGAGUGCUCUAGGUGAUCAGGGAAGUAAGCUGCUGCAUAAGGAGCUCCUGCAGCCAGCCAGCUCCCCCAGCGCCUGCUGUGCACUACGAGUUACCUUGGACGCUGUGUGGUGGCGCUGGGGUUGACAUAGAUCCGGGCAUGUUAUGCGUGGUUAGAGGGCUACGGACGCAUGAUGAAAUCAAAGGCUUCCGGAACGCCGCCGACAGUGGAUUGGCAAACACUUGAUGUUGAAGGGGUAUAAGUAAGAAUGAGAAUGAGUCCAAAGAAGGCUGACAGUUCAAAAUCACAUACAAAGAAUAGGAAGAGUUGUAUCAUCAGUUCAUAUCAGAAGAAGCUGCGUAUGGAGUCCCAGUUAAUGUCAAUAUGGAGGAUCCAGUAGCAGUCCGACUCAACAGAGGGCCCUGGUGCAAAUAUUUUUUGGCAAUCCAUGAAGUUAACUCUGUAAUAAGCAAUAGUAAUAUUAUACAUGCUUAUUGUCUUUAUUAUGAUAAUGAUAUAUAUAUAUAUAUGUGCGUGUAUAUAUUUAUAUUAAACGUGCAUUUGUUUCAUUAUAAAUGCACAUUAGUAAGUGAGACAAAUAUCCAAACG
Molecule: long non-coding RNA, 790 nt
Organism: Bombina bombina (fire-bellied toad)
Lineage: Eukaryota; Metazoa; Chordata; Amphibia; Anura; Bombinatoridae
Exons: 3
Source: RefSeq, a predicted model, not a curated record